GAAACUAUUCUCGUGUCAAUGUAAUGAGAAAUGACUGAGAUAAUAGCCAAAAACUAGUUUUUUUAAUAUUAAUUUUGUAACCACCUUUUUGAGACUUCUGCACCAGGUAUGAACAAGUUACUACUUUGAGUGUAUUCAUUAAGGUCUCUUAUAUAGACUGUUUAUGGUUUCAUUUUUCUAGAUGCUAUGUUUCAAAAUGAGAACUGAGUAGUGAAAGAAUAGGUUAUUUACCAAGGAACACAAGCAGGAUGUCAGUGGCAUUGAUGAGACAUUGUUACAUGAUUGUAAAGCUUCAUAUUUAUGCUACCACAGAGGAGUACUAUCAAGAUAGAGAUGAUGUACAUUACAGUAUGUACUGUAUGGUGAUACAUUAAAAUUUGUUGAAAGACUCAUAAUAAUAAUCAAUCUAUUGG
RNAcentral lists this long non-coding RNA (413 nucleotides) under Amphimedon queenslandica. RNAcentral's name for it is "uncharacterized LOC109585598, transcript variant X3". The record is from RNAcentral. Lineage: Eukaryota; Metazoa; Porifera; Demospongiae; Haplosclerida; Niphatidae.